UUGGAGUGAGUGGCGAACGGGUGAGUAACACGUGAGUAACCUCGCCCCCUUCCUUUGGGAUAACGCCCGGAAACGGGUGCUAAUACUGGAUAUUCACUGAUCUUCGCAUGGGGGUUGGUGGAAAGGUUUUUCUGGUGGGGGAUGGGCUCGCGGCCUAUCAGCUUGUUGGUGGGGUGAUGGCCUACCAAGGCUUUGACGGGUAGCCGGCCUGAGAGGGUGACCGGUCACAUUGGGACUGAGAUACGGCCCAG
Molecule: ribosomal RNA, 251 nt
Filed under: uncultured bacterium
Lineage: Bacteria
Description: partial 16S ribosomal RNA
Rfam family: Bacterial small subunit ribosomal RNA
Source: RNAcentral